GACGAACGCUGGCGGCGUGCCUAACACAUGCAAGUCGAACGGAAAGGCCCGGCUUUUGUGGGUCGGUCGAUUGCCGAACGGGUGAGUAACACGUGAGUAACCCCUCCCUGACUUAGGGAUAUCUUCAGGAAACUGGGGCUCAUAUCGCAUAGGAUCUCUUGCUGCAUGGUGGGCGUUGGUAAGAUUCGGUGGUUGGGUAUGGACUAGCGGGUUAUCAGCUUGUUGGUGGGGUAGUGGCUUACCAAGGCUUUGAGGGGUAGGCGGCCUGAGAGGGGGACCGGCGACAAUGGGACUGAGAGACGGCCCAGACGGGAACGGGACGCAGCGGGGGAGAGUAUUACAGAAUGGGGGGGAGCGAGUGGCGACAACGCUGGGAGCGGGAUGACGGGCUUCGGGUUGUGAACCGAUGUGGACUGAGACGAGGCGAGAUUGACGGUACCGGGUAAAGAAGCACCGGCUAACUACGUG
Molecule: ribosomal RNA, 468 nt
Filed under: uncultured bacterium
Lineage: Bacteria
Description: partial 16S ribosomal RNA
Rfam family: Bacterial small subunit ribosomal RNA
Source: RNAcentral